This 106-nucleotide small RNA is filed under the name Flavobacterium dankookense. RNAcentral's name for it is "Flavobacterium sp. ARSA-19 Flavo-1 RNA". It matches the Rfam family "Flavo-1 RNA". The record is from Rfam by way of RNAcentral. Lineage: Bacteria; Pseudomonadati; Bacteroidota; Flavobacteriia; Flavobacteriales; Flavobacteriaceae.
AAUUAGCCCCGAUUGAAGUGGAAAUCCUGUCAUUGCUUUUUAGCAAAUGUAAUGAGAUUGCUUCGUACCUAGCAAUGACAGAUUGUAACGAAAAGCGGGAAAAUGG